CUUCGGGUGGGUGACGGAGCGGCGAACGGGUGAGUAACACGUGGGCAACCUGCCCCUAGCUUCGGGAUAAGCCCGGGAAACCGGGUCUAAUACCGGAUAUGAGAUCGGAUCGCAUGGUCUGGUUUGGAAAGUUUUUCGGCUAGGGAUGGGCCCGCGGCCUAUCAGCUUGUUGGUGGGGUAAUGGCCCACCAAGGCGACGACGGGUAGCCGGCCUGAAAGGGCGACCGGCCACACUGGGACUGAGACACGGCCCAG
This 255-nucleotide ribosomal RNA is filed under the name uncultured bacterium. RNAcentral describes it as "partial 16S ribosomal RNA". It matches the Rfam family "Bacterial small subunit ribosomal RNA", at positions 78 to 334 of the family's 1533-position model. The record is from RNAcentral.